UGGGUAGGACUCAAUGCCAUGUUGGAUGCAA
Molecule: non-coding RNA, 31 nt
Filed under: Homo sapiens (human)
Lineage: Eukaryota; Metazoa; Chordata; Mammalia; Primates; Hominidae
Source: RNAcentral